Molecule: ribosomal RNA, 431 nt
Filed under: uncultured bacterium
Lineage: Bacteria
Description: partial 16S ribosomal RNA
Rfam family: Bacterial small subunit ribosomal RNA
Source: RNAcentral
AACGAACGCUGGCGGCAGGCCUAACACAUGCAAGUCGAGCGCGCCUUCGGGUGAUCGGCGGGCGGGUGAGUAACGCGUGGGAAUAUGCCCUUCUCUACGGAAUAGUCCUGGGAAACUGGGGGUAAUACCGUAUACGCCCUUUGGGGGAAAGGUUUAUCGGGGAAGGAUUAGCCCUCGUUGGAUUAGGUAGUUGGUGGGGUAAUGGCCUACCAAGCCGACGAUCCAUAGCUGGUUUGAGAGGAUGAUCAGCCACACUGGGACUGAGACACGGCCCAGACUCCUACGGGAGGCAGCAGUGGGGAAUCUUAGACAAUGGGGGCAAACCUGAUCUAGCCAUGCCGCGUGAGUGAUGAAGGCCUUAGGGUUGUAAAGCUCUUUCAGCUGGGAAGAUAAUGACGGUACCAGCAGAAGAAGCCCCGGCUAACUCCGUG